GGGGUCGUGGGCUAGCAUGGAAUGCUGCCAGGCUUGGGCCCUGGUGAUCGUGGGUUCAAAUCCCACCGACCCCACCA
Molecule: transfer RNA, 77 nt
Filed under: Nitrososphaeria archaeon
Lineage: Archaea; Thermoproteati; Nitrososphaerota; Nitrososphaeria
Description: tRNA-Pro
Rfam family: tRNA
About the family: Transfer RNA (tRNA) molecules are approximately 80 nucleotides in length. Their secondary structure includes four short double-helical elements and three loops (D, anti-codon, and T loops).
Source: RNAcentral